GGGCCCGCACAAGCGGUGGAGCAUGUGGUUUAAUUCGAUGAUACGCGAGGAACCUUACCAGGGCUUAAAUGUACGUUGCAUGAUUUAGAGAUAGAUCUUUCUUCGGACUACGUACAAGGUGCUGCAUGGUUGUCGUCAGCUCGUGCCGUGAGGUGUCAGGUUAAGUCCUAUAACGAGCGCAACCCCUGUCGUUAGUUACCAGCAAGUAAUGUUGGGUACUCUAGCGAGACUGCCGGUGCAAACCGCGAGGAAGGUGGGGAUGACGUCAAAUCAUCACGGCCCUUACGUCCUGGGCCACACACGUGCUACAAUGGCCGGUACAGAGAGCAGCCACUACGCGAGUAGGAGCGAAUCUUCAAAACCGGUCUCAGUUCGGAUCGCAGUCUGCAACUCGACUGCGUGAAGCUGGAAUCGCUAGUAAUCGGAUAUC
Molecule: ribosomal RNA, 430 nt
Filed under: uncultured bacterium
Lineage: Bacteria
Description: bacterial SSU rRNA
Rfam family: Bacterial small subunit ribosomal RNA
Source: RNAcentral